This 440-nucleotide ribosomal RNA is filed under the name uncultured bacterium. RNAcentral describes it as "partial 16S ribosomal RNA". It matches the Rfam family "Bacterial small subunit ribosomal RNA", at positions 338 to 795 of the family's 1533-position model. The record is from RNAcentral.
CCUACGGGGGGCAGCAGUGGGGGAUAUUGCACAAUGGGGGGAACCCUGAUGCAGCGACGCCGCGUGGGUGAAGAAGCGCCUCGGCGCGUAAAGCCCUGUCAGCAGGGAAGAAAAUGACGGUACCUGACGAAGAAGCCCCGGCUAACUACGUGCCAGCAGCCGCGGUAAUACGUAGGGGGCAAGCGUUAGCCGGAGUGACGGGGGGUAAAGGGGGCGGAGACGGCGAUGCAAGCCAGGAGUGAAAGCCCGGGGCCCAACCCCGGGAAUGCGCUUGGAACUGCGUGGCUGGAGUGCAGGAGAGGCAGGCGGAAUUCCUGGUGUAGCGGUGAAAUGCGUAGAUAUCAGGAGGAACACCGGUGGCGAAGGCGGUCUGCUGGACUGCAACUGACGUUGAGGCCCGAAAGCGUGGGGAGCAAACAGGAUUAGAUACCCCAGUAGUC